UACGUAGGGUGCGAGCGUUGUCCGGAAUUAUUGGGCGUAAAGAGCUUGUAGGCGGCCUGUCGCGUCUGCUGUGAAAAUCCGGGGCUCAACCCCGGACUUGCAGUGGGUACGGGCAGACUAGAGUGUGGUAGGGGAGACUGGAAUUCCUGGUGUAGCGGUGAAAUGCGUAGAGAUCGGCAGGAACACCCAGGGGGAAACCAGUCGACUGGGCAUCUACUGACGCUGAGGUGCGAGAGCGUGGGAGCGAACCGG
RNAcentral lists this ribosomal RNA (252 nucleotides) under uncultured bacterium. RNAcentral describes it as "partial 16S ribosomal RNA". It matches the Rfam family "Bacterial small subunit ribosomal RNA", at positions 524 to 776 of the family's 1533-position model. The record is from RNAcentral.